CCUACGGGAGGCAGCAGUGGGGAAUAUUGCGCAAUGGGGGAAAGCCUGACGCAGCGACGCCGCGUGAGGGAUGAAGGUCUUCGGAUCGUAAAGCUCUGUCAGCAGGGAAGAACGUGCACGGUGCUAAUCAGCAGUGACUUGACGGUACCUGCAAAGGAAGCACCGGCUAACUCCGUGCCAGCAGCCGCUGUAAUACGGAGGGGGCGAGCGUUAGUCGGAAUUACUGGGCGAAAAGCGCUCGUAGGCGGUAGGUCAAGUCAAGGGUGAAAUCCCCGCGCUCAACGUGGGAACUGCCUUUGAAACUGGCAAACUUGAGUGUGUGAGAGGAUAGUGGAAUUCCAGGUGUAGGGGUGAAAUCCGUAGAUAUCUGGAGGAACAUCAGUGGCGAAGGCGACUAUCUGGCACAUAACUGACGCUGAGGAGCGAAAGCGUGGGUAGCAAACAGGAUUAGAUACCCCGGUAGUC
Molecule: ribosomal RNA, 465 nt
Filed under: uncultured bacterium
Lineage: Bacteria
Description: partial 16S ribosomal RNA
Rfam family: Bacterial small subunit ribosomal RNA
Source: RNAcentral